RNAcentral lists this ribosomal RNA (839 nucleotides) under uncultured bacterium. RNAcentral describes it as "bacterial SSU rRNA". It matches the Rfam family "Bacterial small subunit ribosomal RNA", at positions 1 to 856 of the family's 1533-position model. The record is from RNAcentral.
CUUAGAGUUUGAUCCUGGCUCAGGAUUAACGCUGGCGGCAUGCCUAAUACAUGCAAGUCGAACGGAGCACUUCGGUGCUUAGUGGCGAACGGGUGAGUAACACGUAGGUAACAUAACUAUAAGCCGAGGAUAACGGUUGGAAACGACUGCUAAGACUGGAUAGGAACUAAGAGGGCAUCCUUUUAGUUUUAAAGGACCACUGGUACACUUAUAGAAUGACCUGCGGCGCAUUAGCUAGUUGGUAAGGUAGAGGCUUACCAAGGCGAUGAUGCGUAGCCGGACUGAGAGGUUGAACGGCCACAUUGGGACUGAGACACGGCCCAGACUCCUACGGGAGGCAGCAGUAGGGAAUUUUCGGCAAUGGGGGGAACCCUGACCGAGCAAUGCCGCGUGAAUGAAGAAAUACUUCGGUAUGUAAAGUUCUUUUAUUUGGGAAGAACGGUUGGUGGAAAAGCCAAAGUGACGGUACCAAAUGAAUAAGCCCCGGCUAACUAUGUGCCAGCAGCCGCGGUAAUACAUAGGGGGCAAGCGUUAUCCGGAAUUAUUGGGCGUAAAGGGUGCGUAGGCGGUUAGUAAAGUUUAGGGUAUAAGCUCAUGGCUCAACCAUGGGAGGCUUUAAAAACUGGCUAACUUGAGUGCAGAAGAGGCAAGUGGAAUUCCAUGUGUAGCGGUAAAAUGCGUAAAUAUAUGGAGGAACACCGGUGGCGAAGGCGGCUUGCUGGUCUGUAACUGACGCUGAGGCACGAAAGCGUGGGGAGCAAACAGGAUUAGAUACCCUGGUAGUCCACGCCGUAACCGAAGAGUACUAAUUGUUGGAAAAAAUCAGUGCUGAAACUAAC